CCGUCAGCCCCGAGGCCCCAGCAGACGCUGACCGAGGGGCUGGCGGGGGAAGCGGCCCCCGAGGCCCCAGCAGACGCUGACCGAGGGGCUGGCGGGGGAAGCGGCCCCCGAGGCCCCAGCAGACGCUGACCGAGGGGCUGGCGGGGGAAGCGGCCCCCGAGGCCCCAGCAGACGCUGACCGAGGGGCUGGCGGGGGAAGCGGCCCCCGAGGCCCCAGCAGACGCUGACCGAGGGGCUGGCGGGGGAAGCGGCCCCCGAGGCCCCAGCAGACGCUGACCGAGGGGCUGGCGGGGGAAGCGGCCCCCGAGGCCCCAGCAGACGCUGACCGAGGGGCUGGCGGGGGAAGCGGCCCCCGAGGCCCCAGCAGACGCUGACCGAGGGGCUGGCGGGGGAAGCGGCCCCCGAGGCCCCAGCAGACGCUGACCGAGGGGCUGGCGGGGGAAGCGGCCCCCACGGGCCGAGGCGCGCUGCGGGGCCGAACGAGGGCGCGCUGCGGGGCCUCUCCGCUGGCGGCCGGGCUGCCCGCCCUCCGGCCCGGCCCCGGCCCGGGCCUCGCGCCGCGGAGCUGUGCGCACCGGGCUCGCUGGCGGCCCCUCGGGCGCACGGGCUCCGGCCGGCCGCCCGCGUGCAGGCCCGAGGCCCGAGCCCCCGCCUCUGGCUGCCAGCCCGCGCUCCGCGUUCACCGCGCUCGGCCCGGGCCCGCCUCUCGGCCGUUUUCGCUUUCGCUUUCCUGCCGCCCUCGUCGAGGAAAAUGAAAGUGCCCGUGGCCGUGGCCCGGGCCCGCGCAGCAGCCGUCGAAGCGAGGGGCGAGGAGAGCAGCGGCGGCCGGCGUGGAGCCUGCGAGCUGCGGCCGCUGCCCGCACCAGGCGAGGUGCCAAAAUUUACAGCCUGUUGGAGGAAGACAGCAUCAACGUAAGAGAACAAUAAGACUGUGUCUAGUUUGGGACUUCCCAACUUACAAGGCCUUGAAAGGUAUUCAAGGAAGACCAGGGUGUUGAAAGGGUUGGCACCUGGAUGAAGUGAAGGUCCAGAGGACUCGUCUUGACUUCCUGGAUAGAGUGUGGGCACUGGGACAGUGAGGACAGCUCAGUAUUCAGCAGUGGAUCAUCAGCGGUGGCUGCAGGGUCUUUAGACCCAAGAAGACUGUGCAUCCUUUGGGAAAACAGGGCAACCUCCCCCAAGCCAGUUGGCUGCGCCCAUAGCCUGGCCCUCCUGCUCUGCAUUCCCGACUUCUCUCCAGGCCUCUCUCCUUCACCCCUUGCUCUUCUGCCAGACCUGCUGAAGUCAGGGUGUCCUGGGCAUUUUUUCUUUUUUAAAGCAAGGAUGGUUUGGGUCUAGAUCUAGAGAAAUACAGGAUGUUUCCUGCAUAGGGAUUCUCUGAUUCUGUGUUAAAUCACAGUCCAGAUUUUGGAGAGUGAAAACACUCAGUAAAAAAUGGAUGUGGGGAAUUGUGUAGCUAUGUGUACUGCUGAUGUAAUUUGAAAAGAGGCAGUGUUAAAAAUGUGUCCAGCCUUGGACCAAGCAAUUCCACUUUCUGGAAUUUAUCCUAAGAAAAUAAUCACGGUUGUGCAAAGAUAUGUGUACAAAGAUAAUUUGUCACUGCACUGUGUUAUAAUACAAAAAAAAGAAAGAAAGAAAAGGAAAGGAAAGAAAGGAAAGAAAGAAAAGGAAGGAAGGAAGGGAAAGAAAGGAAGGAAGGAAGAAAAGAAAAGAAAAAAGAAAACAGUGGAAAGCCCAAGAAAAAGGAAUUGGUCCCUUAAAAUCUGGCAUAUCCACACAAGGGCAUGUCAUACAGCAGAAUGACCUAGGUGUAUACUUACAGGCAAGAAAGAUGUUUGCAUAUAUUGCUAAGUUAAAGAAAAAAAGGGAAAAAGAAAUGUAGAAGGCUCAGCAAACAUGCAAAGCAAGUGGCUUGGGACACAGGCUGGAGGGUUGAAAUCCAGGUCAGUCUCUUAACCCGUGUGAGAGUCAGGCAAGUGAGAUCUCCCUAGGCUCCUACUUCUUUCCAGUAAAAUGGGCAUAAUAACACAAGUCUUGCAGAGGUGCAAGAAUUGGUAGGCAUUAACACAUCUAAAGGCCUGGGCACAGGGUCCCGCCUGUGUUGAGUGCUCAGCAGAUGGGUGCCCGGAUGAGGUGCGAACCAGUAGUAUUUCUACUUGUGUAUAAGCCUGGACACGUUCUAGAAAUUCAUAGUCAAGUAGUGGUUUUAUUUGGCUGGUAGAAUGGUGGGUGAUUUUCAAAAUUUUCUUAUUUUUCUACAAGGAAUACAUGUUACUUAUUUUCAUCGUGAUGUAAUUUUUAAAAGGAAGUAACAAUUGAAAAGGUUAAAAGAAAAAAAAAAAAACCUGCCGGGCAUUUGGCAGGCAAACCAACUGUGCAGCCCCCAGGGCAGGGGAGGAUGGGGGGAGGCAGGAAGGGGGGGAAGAGGAAGGGCAGUGGGUGAAGGAAAGAACUGGAAGGUAAGGCUCAAGCCCCUACAGGCAUGUUCCCCACUGUGGCCCCUCCUGGGGAGCUCCUGGCAGGAGACAUGGUGACUCAAGGCCCAUCUGUCCUGGGAGAUGAGGAUGAGUGUGUGUAGCCCCCUCUGGCCGCUGAGCACAUCAGCAGAGGGGCCCUGGGCCUUCAGAAACCCAGCAUCUUGUCCAGGCCCAGAGUAGGAGAGGCAGGAAGUCCUCGUGAGUCCCUCAGUUCCUCAAAGGAUGACCAGCUCCUCUCUUCUUUGGCUCCCUGGCCGGAUCCACACUCAAGAGCAGGGUCUCCCAAGCCAAUACAGCCAGCUGGGAAAGGGAGCCAGUGACGGUGACCGCUCUGGGGUUGCUGUGCCAGCUCCGGCCCCGCCCCCACCCCACGCACCAACUGCCUUCCCUGGCCAAUGAGGUUGGGAGAAACCCCCCAUGUUAACGGGGUGCCAGUUUAUUGAGCAUUCUUGGGGCAUGGCUCAUCCAUGCAAGUGACUUCUCCAAAUAAUCAAACUUAAUCCCAUUGCAUUGCAAUUUUUUUUUUUUAAGAUUUUAUUUAUUUAUUCAUGAGAGACAGAGAGAGAGAGGCAGAGGGAGAAGCAGGCUCCCAAGGAGCAGGGAGCCCGAUGCGGGACUCGAUCCCAGGACCCUGGGAUCAUGACCUGAGCCGAAGGCAGACGCUUAACCAUCUGAGCCACCCAGGCGCCCUGCAUUGCAAUUUUUAACUGUACUCAUUUUAAAUUAAUUUCUGUUUUAUCACAUUGAUCAAAAUAAUGCCUGCAUAUGGUUUCUAUAUCAACAGUACGAGAGGCUCAUAAUAAAAACCCCCUCCCUUAGCUUCCUCAGUCCCGCUCUCUCUGGAGCUAGCCUCUUCUUUCAAUUCUUUCAUUAGUUUCUAUUUCUGCUUAUAUUAUUAUUUCUUGAUUUACCAAUUUUAGACAUCUGUUCACUUCUUGGGGGAGACAAAAAUUGAGUUUUCCUACGAAGCCACUUCCAGUUCUCCCCCCCCCCCCCAUUUCCCAGUAAGAAUAUAACCCAGUAGUGAAUGUAGAGGUAUUCUUCACUGCUGAGCUAAGUAGUGUGUUGUGUGUCCUUGAGCGCUGGAGGAAAAAAAUUUUGCAUCUUUGAUAAUUUUCUCCCCUUUAUUUUACCCAUUGGACCUACUGGAUUUACUCGUUCUGAUUUUCUUGGAUUUUCUCUAUUUCCCUGCCCUUUGCCCUUGGGUCUCCUUUCUUGGGCAACUUGACUUGACUUUAUCCUCCAACCCUGCUGCUGGUGUUGUUUUAAUUUUGGCUUUCAUAUUUUUAAUAUACAAUUAUUCAUUCUUGUCUUCCAUGCCUUUUUUCAUAGGACCAUAUUCUUGUUUUAUCGAUAUACCCUUGCCCUCUUACCUUUCUGAAGAGGCAUUGUUUAUUUUUCUUCUAUUUGUUUUGUUUUAAUAUUCUUCUAUUCUCUUUUAUUAUCUUUGUUUCCACCUAGCUGCCUUUUGCAUGUUUGUUUUCUCUCUUUCAUGUUGGAGGCUUUUCUCGAAUGCCAAAUAUCCUGGCUGUCUGUUGAUACUUAUGAAUGAAGCAAUAAAAACCUGAAUUAAACUGUAUGUUUGGGGACAACAUAUCAGCUGGGGUUUUGCUACAGGGAGCAAGCCAGUCUUUUCGUUAACAAGCCUCUAAAUGUCAAACUCUGUUCUCUAGAGCUAGGUUUCUCAACCUUGGUGCUAUUGAUAUUUUAGUACAGAUAAUUGCUUGUUGUCAGGGGCUCUUGUGCAUGGUAGAAUGCUUAGCAGCAUCACUGAACCUCCAGAUGCCUUUCCUAGACUUGUGAUAACCAAAAAUGUCUAUAAACAUUGCCAAAUGUCCCCUGGGGGGCAAGAUCACCCCAUUGAGAACUGCUACUCAAGCCAUUCCCCUUCUCAAGAGAAGCAUUCUGACUCCUUGUUCCCGUUACUUAUUACUGCAUAACAAACCACCCCAGAACUUAGCAGCAUAAACAACAGCCAUUUUAUUAUUCUACAAGUCAGGAAUUCAGAAAAGGCACAGCUCCACAAUGUCUGGAGCCCAGGUUGGGGUGACGGAGAUGACCAAAGGCUCAAGUGGCUGGGAUUUGGACCAGCUGGAGCUGAAGGAUCCACUUCCCAGAUGGUUCUUCACUUGGCAGCGAUAGCCGGAAGCCGGGGCUCAGCUGGGACUGGUGACCGGAGAGACGGCACACAGCGUCUCUAGCAUCCAGCCCGGUAGUUGGAUCUCUGAUGUGGUAGCUCAGAGCUCCAGUGUGAAUGCUCCGGCCAGCAAUAUGGGCCCUGCAUGGUCUUUUAUGGCCUGGUCUUGGAAGUCACAUGGCAUCACUUACCACUGUAGUCACAAGGCCCACCCACCGUCAGGGAAGGAGACCGACACCCACUUCUCAAUGGAAGAUGUGUCCAAAAAACUCGCAGCCAUGUUUUAAAUUCCCCACACUCCAGAACAGGGUGAUAUAUGCCUGGGGCAGCGUGGGGUGUGAGGCAUGGAGACGUUGAAGCUCACUGUUCAGUCUUCAGACUUUGCCCUCGCCCCCCAUUUGCAUCCUUGCAUUCAUCCGCCGUCUCUUCUGCCUCCAUCUCUCCUGUUCAGGAUCUUUAGUCUUGUGCUUCAUGGGGCAGAGCGUGGGGUGGGUCCGAGAAGGAUUUCCCUGAUUCCUUACCCCACUGCCUCCUAUGCCUGACCCCCACCAUCAUAAUCCCAAAUUUCCCUGAGGUCUGAGCUCCUCCAGGGUCCCGGGGGUGAAGGGGCUGGCCUCCUGUCAGCAUCCCCGUCCGCAGGCCCUAGGAGACUAGCUUCCUCCAUGGCAGCCAUCAUUCCUCCAUCUGCUUUCCAGCUUCCUGGAGUCUACUCAAAUCUCAUCCACCCGUGUCUCCUUCACCAUUCUCUUUGCUCUUGAGGGUUGAUACCGUUUUCUUCCUUUUUUCUUUCUUUUUUAAUUUGUUAUUUAUUUUUUAAGUUUUUAUUUAAAUUCCAGUCAGGUAACAUACGGUGUGACAUUAGUUUCAGGUGUACAAUGUAGUGACUCAACACUUCCAUAAGUCACCCCGUGCUCAUCACAAGUGCCCUCCUUAAUCCCCAUCACCUGUUUCACCCCUCUCCCCAAUAUACCAUUUUAUCUCCUGACUGGCAUUUCAGUGGCACUUCAGGAGAGAAAGAAGACGGGGACAUGUGAGUGACCUGAUGUCUUUAACUGGAAGCCCUGUUGUGCUUCUUUCGGAAGGAGGCACGUCUCUCAAGUGUGUUAUGAUCUUCCCUGCCCAGUUAAAGCUCUAUUAAGUAGUGCAGUGGCUGCAUUUAACCCUUGGCUGGUAAUUCAGCGUCAUCUUUAUGAGUGUACAUGUUUACCUUGGAAUUAUGAAGCUAAGUAGAGCAAUUUGUCCCUCCACGAUGGGGACUGGGAUCACGGUGCUAAAACCCCGUAAGCCUUUCCUCCUGGUCGCUCUGUCUCGGGCCGCCUCUCGUCCCAUUCAUUUGUGGGGACGGUGCCACAUUACAGCACAUUAACUUCCAAUCUACUCCUCCUGAAGUGACUAAACCAGACGACUGUGCAGGGUAUCCCCCCCCACUGCCCCGUCCCCACCCAUUUCCUACCCUUCCUCACUCCUUCCCACAUUUGACGUUCAUGGAUUGCAUCAACCAGGCUCCAUGGCGUCUUGCUUCCAGUUGGGCUUGGCCAACGGAAGACCCCUUCAGCAGGUUGGAGAAUAAUGGCGGGGUGCUUUAGGGGGCUUUAUCCCCCUAGUUCCCUCUCUUGCUACGCCUCGGGUCAGCAGGGUCUGUGUUCUUCACCCUAAAGCCACAAGCCCCACAGCAGCCCUCUCCUCCAGCCCUGCGUAGGUUGCUCUAACCUCUCCCUUGCCCUCCUCCCUUCAGGCUGCGGGUACCAGCUCCCCCAUGUUGCUGGCUCAGAGGGCUUCUCUUGCCCUUGUCCUUUCCCUUCGUGUUGCUCACCCUGUACACAGUCCUUCCUUGAGCUCUCCUCGGUUACUUGUGCAGCAUGUAUCUGUUUCCCACUGGGACUCUGACGAUACAGAAACUUUUUCUCAUUUGCAUCUAAAACAAGAAUAGUCCCUGAGAGAAACCCUCCCAGUUCUUUGUAUGAGCUUUGUGACAUCUCUGGACUACACAGGGGCUUUUAAAAAAUUCACUUUCGAGUUUUUAACUAUAAUGCAAGAUAGAAGGUACUGGAUUAGUGACUUCUCCAUAUGGGGGAAUAUUACUUACUGGUGUUUUGAGGAGGAAAAUAAGCCUGUCAAUAAAAGGAAACCAGGAGACAGAGUAUAUAAUGACUUUCAGAAAUCAUAUGACCAGAAAACGUCCACAGUUUCAGAAAAUGAAGAAAUACCUUCCUGAACAACAGAUCCUUCUUGGGUCUUUAAGGUGAAGUGUAGGUUUGGGGGACAUCCAGGCCAUGUCUGGGUGGGAUUCCCCUAGGUCUGACAUUAGGAGUCCCUUAGGUCAAACCCACGAAGCCUGUGUGUUUCCAGCUCAGGGGCCUCCUUGAUGCUUUUGCUCCGAGGAGUAUCGUGUGCUUGUUCCCUAGAUGCGGAUAACUCGGAGCCUAGAGAGGCCCACAGCCUAGGCCCUGAUCACAUCUCACGCCCAGGAGGAGCGCCCGAAGCCCAGCUGUCCUCCAGCCACCUCCAAGAUCGGCCUGCACGACUCCCCUGCUGGGAACACUCUAUGGAUUCUCUUGCCUCCUCGCUCUCCCGGCCUAGUCAGACCUCAGUUUUGGUUUAAUUUGUGCAGCCCUUUGAAGCAUGCGUACCUCUAGGGAAAAAGCAGAAUCAAGUACUCUUCUUGGCCACCCAUUUCCUGAAGCGUGAAAAGGAAACAUUUCAUCAGUGCUUUGUCAAGGAGACAACAGGAAGGGGUAGCGGCUCUCUGGCUGGCAGGGCGAGCCGCCUGGCGUUUCACAGAGGAGGGAGGUGAGAUGGCACAUGGGCGCCGAGGCCCCAGCCAGGGGCAGCAUGGACACAGCCCUGGGCACAGUGUCCCACGGGCCACUCCGGCAGAGCCACGAACCCUCAGCCCUCCUGGGCAGGGAGGAAAGGCCUGGGGCAUCACCCCCAUUGCCCAGGGGGGAGACGAGAGCCAGAGAAGUGGAAAGUGACAGCUUCGGUGGAGAGACACUCCUGUCUUUACACCCUGGCUUCCUUAUUCAUGCUUCUUUCACUCCUCGGGAUUUUUUUUUUUUUUUUUUUUUUAGUUUGGGGAAUGGGGACUAGACAGUUGAAGACAGGUUUGUUUCUAACCUGGCUACCUUCCAGUGAUGUAGCCUUUAUCAGUUUAGCUUGUCCUCUUCCAGCCCACGCUACUCUGUGUCCCUCGGCCAAGGGAGCUCAGCCAAGGCCCCCCCAGCGUCCCACCCAGCAGAGUUGCAAGAGGCCCCAGGCCCCUUCCUGUUCACUCCUGCUCUGCAGACAUGAUGCCAUGAGGCAGACAUGUAGGGACAUGGACGCAAGGGGCAGCCCGUGGCUGGAUAGUGGAGGGCCCUGAAGGGCUGGGGAAGCUUCUAAGGGAAGCAGAGUCCUUCCCACAGCAGCAGGUUCAUGGUCUGUGCACAUGGGGGAUGAGGCCCGGGAGGGCAGAGCUCCUGGGUAGCACGUAAACCCGUGUCUUGUCUUCUCCCAUCCAAGCUGCCUGUUGUGGGCCAGAGUACGCCGGCGGUGGCCAUUGCUGGGGUGGCUGCCUCUAACCACAAAGAGAGGAAGGAACAUUCUCAGCCUGGGCACUUGAACCCAGCACAUUGCCAUCCUCAGCAAGAUGUUGCAAGUUCCUAAUCUGGACCCAGAGGCCAGGGAGUCGAGGUGUCAUCUGGAGCCCAGAGUUGACUGUUACCCACAAACACAGACAUCCGUGGGGCCUACAACACCCUCUCCCCGGUUGUCACAUCCUCAGCAGUGCCUCCGGCCUGGGUGGUAUCCUGGGGAAGCCCAGCUGCCACCUCUCUAAAAACGGCCCCAGCUGUGCCAACAAAGCCACUCGCCUGGGGCGGGGCUGGGGUCCACCUUGCUGUCAUUUCACACCAUUAUGGACUGAUGCAACCAGGUUUCAUCAGACACCACCGGGGAAGAAGCACAUUACAACAGCGUGCUCAGCACUUCCCCUGCCCGUGCGCAAGGCUUGCUCACCUCAGCCAGGAUGGACCUCUUCCCGCCCUGGUAUCUCACCCCGCCAGGCUGCGAAGCACCUUCUGCGGCGGACCAGAGCAGAUCGCCUCCUCCCAAGAAAUUAAGCCAGUGGCUUUCGAUCCUGGCGGGGCACCGCUGUCAUCAAGGAUAUUAAAAAGAUAUGGAUGCCUGUCCCUCACUCUCACCCCAAAGAUACCAACUGAAUUGAUCUGGGCUAAAAAACAAAAACAAAAACCUAAGUGUGUAUUGAAGGAUCACAUACAAGCAACACCACCACCACCACAAACCUGAGGUGUAAAUCUCAGUGAAUUUUCACUCGGCGAACCCCGGGUUACCCGAAGUAACCAGCGUCCAGGUCAAGAAGCAGAACAUCACCAACGUCCCCUGGUGCCCUGAAGGGUAACCACCAUUCUCACUUCUAAAGGUAGAAAUGAGUCUUGCCUGUUUUCAAGCUUUAUAUUAUAUAAAGGGAAUCAUACAGUAUUUGGGGUUUUGUGUCUGGUUUCUUCCACUCAACAUUGUGUGUGUGAGAUUCACGCAAGCUGCUGCUUAUAGUUGCUGUAGUCCGUUCGUUCUCAUUGAUAUAGAGUAUUCCACCGUGUGGAUAUCACGGUUGCUGGGUAUUUGGGUAUUUGGGGUUUUGGGGGCGGGUUGGGGUAGUUAUGACUACUACUGCGAUGAGCAUUCCCGUGGCGUCUUUCAGAGCACAUUUGUAUGCAUGUCCGUUGGGUGCAUACUGAGGAGUGGGAUUGCCAGGGCAGGUAUGGAUAUGAAUGCGUUCAACUUUCGUACCUUGUGCCUAAUGAUCUCCCAAGGUGGCCGUACCCAUCUGCACCCCUCCAGCAACGGGUGAGAGUGCUGGUUGCUUCACAUCUUUGCUGGUGAUUGGUAUUUGACAUCUUUUUCAUGUUAGCCAUUCUGGUGGGUGUGUAAUGGUAUGGCAGUGUGGUUUUAAUUUGCAUUUCCCUGAUGACUAAUACAGUUGAGCACCUUUUCAUAUGUUUCUUAGCCAUUUAGAUCCCCUCUUUGCAAAGUGCCUGUUGAAGUAUUUGGACACGAAUAUUUUUAAGAAGCUCCUUAGGUGGUUCUUAUGUGCAGCCAAGGUUGAAAACCAUUGAACUAAACCACAAGUUAGUAUCUGCUGCUCUGUUGCUCAAUGUCCUGCCCUUGAACUCGGAGUAUUUUGGAUCUGAGGGAACCUCAUGGACCUGGGGCAGUUGCAACUCUCUGGGAACGUAGCUCCCCCUCCAAAGGGCCCAGAGAGGGCCUGUGGUGUCCACAGCUGCCACAGACAUUUCCUGACCACAAAAAUGAUCCCUUGCUGAUCCCCUCAGAGCCCUAGGCAAUCAUGUGGAGGAAGUGGAGGGGCCACAUGCCAGGUACUUCCCGGUUUCUAGGCCAGCACGAACAGGACACAGCUCAUGUGGGGGUUGUGGUCAGCCUGGGGACAGUGGAACAUGUGUGACAGGGGCCUGGGUGGGGCUGAGCGAGGCCUGCCAUCUGUGGCCUUUCUCCUGGGUGAAAGGGCAGCCAGUGAGGCUCUCCCACGUGGGUCCAAGCCUGGCCAGGUCUAGAGUUCUGCAUGUUUGCAUAGAGGUCCCCGUUGUUGCUUCUCUUACCUGUGACGGUCUCCUCUGUCCUCUGCUCCCCACCGUGGGGGCCCUGCUCUGGGACCUUCCCUGGCUACCCCACCCCUGCAGGGCCCCCUCACCCUGCUGAGCUCGUGCAGCACUUAGAGUGAGACCAUGCAGUGGGGCUUCUGUUUGUACACUGCUUUGUACCGGGUCCAGGCUGCAUCAUCGGGUUCAUCUCAUCCCCCACCCUGGACUGCACUCUCACCCCGGGGACUGCUGAGCACCUGUCUCCGCUCCCCAACAGUGGGUAGAAUGGCAUUUGGUAACUCAGUGACAACAAGCCCCGACUUGAAAAGGAAGAUGCAGUAAAAAUACAGACCACACACCAAGUCAGCAUUUUCCUUCCCUCAGACUGGAGCUGUGCAGGUGUCAAGCAGAGCUACCCUUUGUGGGCUCCCUGUUGGCAUGUGCCCCACAUCUAGUAGGUGAGGAGCUCUAUGCAGUGAGUCCGGAGUCGGACCACCAGCAGGGGACUAGGAUGCUGGUGCCUGGCUGGGUGUGCAGAAAGGCCCCUUAGGCAGAGGGGCUCCCAACACCCUGAUGGAAUUCACCAUGGUGUCCAGGGCUUGGGAAGCAGGGGGACAACCUUGUCAGUGCCUGUCCACAUGUUCUUUGAAAAGAGCAUGGUCCACCUUCUGUGGACUCAAGUCUUCUAGCGGUGUGACGUGAGAUGGAGGCACAUGGGCAAAGUUGACCUUUGGGAGACUGGUGAGCACGGAACCAGCUCUGGACUCCUCGUUGUGCCAUGUUCCAUGGAUUCAGGCCCAUCUUGGAAAUUACUCUGGACAUAGAACCUCUCGUGUCUGGUGGUCUAAGUACAGAUCUCGGUGUUCUCUUGAUUGGCACAAAUGGUAGUCUGCACCAAGCAGCGAUCAGAGUGCUAUCUGAAGCCUGGGAUGGUAAUGGGGAGAAGCCCCUCUAGCAGUGCAAGGGCUCCAGUUGCUUCCCAUCCUUGCCAACAACUGGCAUGUUCUGUCUUUGGCCCUCUGAGUCUCAUAAAAAGAGAGACCCCUCUACUCCCCUUGAGCGUGCAUCCCAGCCUCUCCCCUUUCACAUUCUACUCCACUGGCUGCCAUGGUGCAGUGUUUGACGUGCUCCCACCAACAUUGUCUGUGUCAUGCUUCCCCCCGCCCCUUCCCCAUGCAGUCCGCCACGUUGUCUGCCUCUCCCAGCCGAGACUCUGGACAGAGACAGCGCCUCUCUCCUCCUCCUCCUCAGGACUUACUCAGCAGGUAUUCCUUUUACCCCUGCCUGUGCUGAGCUUCACACACAAGACCCCUGGCCCUGCUCUCAUGAAGCUUCCAGCUGAGGAGGGAAGACAAAGUAUUAACAAGGCCUUAUGUAAUGGCGGUGGGGAUAAGCGCAGCCGUAGCCAACAGCAUGGGCCACGUCCUCUCUGCACCUGCAAACGCCCGCGUGUCCUUCAAGGCCUCAGCCCACGUGUCACCACAUCUGUGCCACCUACCCCACCUUGCAUCGCCCGACAGGGUAGCCCUUUCGGCCCAGAACAGCCUUGGUUAUAACUGCUCUGCACAGAGGAUGAAAUCCAAGGGCAGAACCCAGAUCACACUCCCCUCAGAGUCCCCUGCCCAGCACAGAGCCCUGAGCGCUCAUCACAGGUACUUAGUUGAUGAAUGUAAACUCUCGCCAAGACUGAGCUGAAGUGUGUGAAUGUCUCCGUGGGCUGAGAAUCAUUGCUUGCUUGCUUGUUUCUUUUUUUUUUUUUAAAAUAGACUUUUGUUUCUUUUUAUCAUGAUGAAAGUAAUUUGGAUUACGUCAUAACAAUGUGAAUUUACUUAAGAAUACUGAACGAUAUGCUUACAAACGGUUAAGAUGGUAAAAUUUAUGUUACGUGUAUUUUACCACACUUUAAAAGAAUAGAAAGAAUGCAAAGAAUAAAUACAGACAAGGGGAAUAAGAGAGAAAGGUCCAUAUUAUCAAGAAAUAAAGGACAAAGGCUUUGAUUCAGGAUUUGAUUCAGACAGAAUUAGAUUAAAAAAUAAGUAAUUUGGAUUAGGGAAGUGCAAAUCAAAACCAUAAUGAGAUAUGACUUCAUACCCUUUAGGUGUGUGAAAAUAACGAGUGUGGGCCAGUGUGGAGAAAUUAGAACUCAGUGCAUUGCUGGUGGGAAUGUAAAAUGGUGUAGUUGCUGUGGAAAAUGGUAUGGUGUUUCCUGAAAAAAAUUAAACAUAGAGGGGCACCUGGGUGACUCCGCUGGUUGUGUCUGCCUUCGGCUCAGUCAUGAUCCCAGAGUUCCAGGAUCGAGCCCUUCGUCCGUCUGUCCGGCUCCCUGCUCAGUGGGGAGCCUGCUUCUCCCUCUGCCUGCCACUCCCCCUGCUUGUGCUAUCUCACUCACUCUUUCUCUC
Mirounga angustirostris (Northern elephant seal) is the source of this 12610-nucleotide RNA transcript. RefSeq lists it as uncharacterized. The transcript is spliced from 2 exons. Lineage: Eukaryota; Metazoa; Chordata; Mammalia; Carnivora; Phocidae. The record is from RefSeq and is a predicted model, not a curated record.